This is a long non-coding RNA of Oreochromis aureus, 992 nucleotides long. NCBI's taxonomy places the organism in Eukaryota, Metazoa, Chordata, Actinopteri, Cichliformes, Cichlidae. The record is from Ensembl.
CUGUUUCUAAGCUAAAACUUGCUAAGUUUGCUGAGGUUAUGUUUGGUGCUUAAAAAAGAGAGAAAAAAGAGGGGAGAAAAAGGAAGUGUGGUAGAGUGUACAACUGUUUAUUGUUUAUUGUACAACUUUUCUUAGAUUCCAGCAACCUGAGUACAAGAGGGGGUGUUAAGAUAUUCAUUGUAUGUACUCAUGUUGUACAGUGUGUUUAACAGUAUUAUGGUUACUGUGGUUUAACAGAGAGACAGUAUUUUAGUUGUCACCACAAGGAGGCACUGUUUCAUUGUAAGGGCACGUAUGCUGCGUCAUCACGUCCCUAAGAAGGAGAAGUGUUACCUCCGACAAAAAUGGCAUCCAAGAGGAAAGUUUUGCCGCGUAUUCAUGAGGAAUAAAGUUCCCUAAAUGUUAAGGACAUCUUUGCCUCCGUCAUCAUUUUCCUUCGAGUUGAUCGCUGUCGACGCUGCAAUACUCAACAGUUUUGAACAGCUGAUCGGAUCGGCAAAGCGUUUUUCUGGAAUAUUAUGUUUUUGUUGCUGCAAGCGCUUUUUAUGCAGUUUUUGCAAAGCUAUAUGUAGAAGGAAACUGUGAACUAGGACAAGCUGAUGGCAUAAGAUACUUUCCUUCAAGUGUUUGACACAAAGAUGGAAAAUAUGACUGAAUAUGAAGAUUACCUUGACUAUGGCGAAUACACAGAAGCUGUACAAUGCACCAGGGACAAUGACAACAAACUGGGAGCGCUGCUGUCCAUCCUUUACUACUUCAUGUUUACCUUCAGUGUCAUUUGCAACGGGAUAGUCCUCAUCAUCAUCUGUCGCUUAUCACACAUUUGAUUUCCAUGUGUGACGACUGCAAGUGUCCAGAGUGAGGACAGACUGAGGGACCCACUGCUGCACAUCAUCUGUGAGGCUUUGCACCCCUGAUGAUCCACCAGGACAAACUCAGCAGUGUGUGAGGAAGAGGAGGAGGAAGAGCCAGCAGCAGCUGACAGAUGGAGA